AUACGGAGGGUGCAAGCGUUGUUCGGAAUUACUGGGCGUAAAGCGCGCGUAGGUGGUCUGUUAUGUCAGAUGUGAAAGUCCACGGCUCAACCGUGGAAGUGCAUUUGAAACUGGCAGACUUGAGUACUGGAGGGGGUAGUGGAAUUCCCGGUGUAGAGGUGAAAUUCGUAGAUAUCGGGAGGAAUACCGGUGGCGAAGGCGACUACCUGGCCAGAUACUGACACUGAGGUGCGAAAGCGUGGGGAGCAAACAGGAUUAGAAACCCUAGUAGUCC
Molecule: ribosomal RNA, 274 nt
Filed under: uncultured bacterium
Lineage: Bacteria
Description: partial 16S ribosomal RNA
Rfam family: Bacterial small subunit ribosomal RNA
Source: RNAcentral